GCCGCGGUAGCUCAGGUAGUAGAGCGCAGCUCUGAAAAAGCUGAGGGCGCCGGCGCACGUCCGGCCCGCGGCACAA
RNAcentral lists this transfer RNA (76 nucleotides) under Parcubacteria group bacterium CG2_30_36_21. RNAcentral's name for it is "tRNA-Phe". It matches the Rfam family "tRNA". From Rfam's summary of the family: Transfer RNA (tRNA) molecules are approximately 80 nucleotides in length. Their secondary structure includes four short double-helical elements and three loops (D, anti-codon, and T loops). RNAcentral also lists the same sequence under 4 other names. The record is from RNAcentral.